Molecule: ribosomal RNA, 459 nt
Filed under: uncultured bacterium
Lineage: Bacteria
Description: partial 16S ribosomal RNA
Rfam family: Bacterial small subunit ribosomal RNA
Source: RNAcentral
CCUACGGGAGGCAGCAGUGAGGAAUAUUGGUCAGUGGUCGGGAGACUGAACCAGCCAAGCCGCGUGAGGGAGGAAGGUACAGAGUAUCGUAAACCUCUUUUGUCAGGGAACAAAGGCGGGGACGUGUCCCCGGAUGAGUGUACCUGAAGAAAAAGCAUCGGCUAACUCCGUGCCAGCAGCCGCGGUAAUACGGAGGAUGCGAGCGUUAUCCGGAUUUAUUGGGUUUAAGGGGUGCGCAGGCGGUCUGUUAAGUCAGCGGUCAAAGCCCGGGGCUCAACCCCGGCCCGCCGUUGAAACUGGCAGUCGCGAGUUGGAGAGAAGUAUGCGGAAUGCGCGGUGUAGCGGUGAAAUGCAGAGAUAUCGCGCAGAACUCCGAUUGCGAAGGCAGCAUGCCGGCUCCACACUGACGCUGAGGCACGAAAGCGUGGGUAUCGAACAGGAUUAGAUACCCGGGUAGUC